Molecule: long non-coding RNA, 506 nt
Organism: Topomyia yanbarensis
Lineage: Eukaryota; Metazoa; Arthropoda; Insecta; Diptera; Culicidae
Exons: 3
Source: RefSeq, a predicted model, not a curated record
AUUUAAAGGUGAUUUAAAGAUAUUUCGAUAUUGAAUUGAGGUAUUAAAUAGCGGACUGUAUUAUUUCUAAUCGCCCUUAAUAUACUUGGUCUAGCCUAGAACACGACCAGAUUAGAGUGGCUAAUACGUGGAGUAAACUACCAAGGAGGAAACAAUUAGAAGCCUAAGAGGGCACUAAACGUAAGAAUUUACCUAUUCAACUAAAUACUAACUAAUGUAAAUCUAAAAUUUUAGGGAUUUUAUAAUCCUCGUAGAAUAAAGAUUAUAAAAUCGGAAAGGCCGUGGUUUCUCUGCAACAACUUAUAAAAUCCGUUUAAAAUGCCAUCAAAGAAAGUUGGCAACAAAUCGGCGAAGAUUCCGCCGCCGACGAACGUGAGCUGCAAUAUGUGCAAUUCUCCGGACAAUAGUCGAAUGGUGCAGUGCGACGACUGCAACAAGUGGUAUCACUACAGCUGUGUACAUGUAGAUGAAGGGAUCGCUGAUUACGACUGGUGCUGUGACGAAUG